RNAcentral lists this long non-coding RNA (393 nucleotides) under Androctonus crassicauda. Lineage: Eukaryota; Metazoa; Arthropoda; Arachnida; Scorpiones; Buthidae. The record is from RNAcentral.
CAAUUAUUGUUGUUAAUGUUUUAUUGUGCCUAAUUUAUAAAUUAAACUUUAUCAUAGGCAUGUACAACAUAUAUAGUAUAUAGUGUUUUUACUACUAUUCACUGUUUCAGAUAUCUGCAGAGAGGCUUGGAACCUAUCUCCUGUAGAUAUGUGGUGCUAUUAUAUUUUGAUUCAGACAAGUAGGAUUGAAGAAAGUGAGAAUUAAGCAAGUGAUAUUUGGGUAAAUGUGGCUAAUCGAUCACUUAAGCAAUUUCGAGUUCCAUGGUUUUAAGUUCCACUGUUUCAGAAAUACAUAGAUGUACAAGUCUUUUUAUUUGUGUUGAAUUUUCAUAAAGGAUAAAGAAAAGGAUUCAUUAAACAAUUUAAUUUUUUUGCAAAAAUAUCAAGUAUGGC